RNAcentral lists this ribosomal RNA (744 nucleotides) under Conoideocrella luteorostrata. Its description in RNAcentral is "LSU rRNA". It matches the Rfam family "Eukaryotic large subunit ribosomal RNA", at positions 146 to 918 of the family's 3401-position model. Lineage: Eukaryota; Fungi; Ascomycota; Sordariomycetes; Hypocreales; Clavicipitaceae. The record is from RNAcentral.
UAAUUUGCAGAGGAUGCUUUUGGCGAGGUGCCUUCCGAGUUCCCUGGAACGGGACGCCAUAGAGGGUGAGAGCCCCGUCUGGUUGGAUACCGAGCCUCUGUAAAGCUCCUUCGACGAGUCGAGUAGUUUGGGAAUGCUGCUCUAAAUGGGAGGUAUAUGUCUUCUAAAGCUAAAUACCGGCCAGAGACCGAUAGCGCACAAGUAGAGUGAUCGAAAGAUGAAAAGCACUUUGAAAAGAGGGUUAAACAGUACGUGAAAUUGUUGAAAGGGAAGCGCUUGUGACCAGACUUGGGCCCGGUGAAUCAUCCAGCGUUCUCGCUGGUGCACUUUGCCGGGCCCAGGCCAGCAUCAGUUUGCCUCGGGGGAUAAAGGCUCUGGGAAUGUGGCUCCUCCGGGAGUGUUAUAGCCCGUUGCAUAAUGCCCUGGGGCGGACUGAGGUUCGCGCAUCUGCAAGGAUGCUGGCGUAAUGGUCAUCAGCGGCCCGUCUUGAAACACGGACCAAGGAGUCGUCUUCGUAUGCGAGUGUUCGGGUGUAAAACCCCUACGCGGAAUGAAAGUGAACGCAGGUGAGAGCUUCGGCGCAUCAUCGACCGAUCCUGAUGUUCUCGGAUGGAUUUGAGUAAGAGCAUACGGGGCCGGACCCGAAAGAAGGUGAACUAUGCCUGUAUAGGGUGAAGCCAGAGGAAACUCUGGUGGAGGCUCGCAGCGGUUCUGACGUGCAAAUCGAUCGUCAAAUAUGGGCAU